RNAcentral lists this unclassified non-coding RNA (240 nucleotides) under soil metagenome. RNAcentral describes it as "partial contains 5.8S ribosomal RNA, internal transcribed spacer 2, and large subunit ribosomal RNA". The record is from RNAcentral.
AACAUCGCGCACCUGCGGGAACCUGCGGAGGGAUCAUUACGAGAGUGUCACCACUCCCAACCCAUUGUUUACCUACCCGUCCACCGUGCUUCGGCAGGCAGCCCUGUGGGACAGAGCCUCGCCCCCCUCCGCGGGGGGUGCCUGCCGCUGGCCAACCAACAACUCUAGCUGUUUUAGUACCAUCUGAGUCUUCCACAAAUGAACAAAACUUUUAACAACGGAUCUCAGAUCGGAAGAGCA